AUUGUGCGAAAGCCAAACCAGCCGUUGCCCCAGGUCAUUCGUCGGUUGUCUGAGAUGAAGUCAGUUGAUCGUUCGAGAAGGCACAAGACAGAGAAGUCACAUUGUAUUCUCAAGAAGGAACACACACACGGUCCAAUAUUAGUGCAAUACAGAGCAUUUACUCAGUACGAGUCCAUUCAGUUUGGAAAUCUAUUCUUCUCCACUAGUGAUGCUGACAAUUGCGUAAAGAUUGGACGACAUUAUGGAUUAAUUAGGAACAUUUGCAAUGAUCUAGGACAAGACGAAAGUUCAGAACCCGUCAUACUUUUUGAGCCAUUCUCUGUUGUUCGUGAGUUCUUUGAGUACCCUCUCAAGUCAUCAGAUCUUGGUAUUGUAAAGGUCGGACUAAUUGCAUAUAAUGGGCUGAAAGCAGAGAGUGUGUCCAAAAUUUCUUGCAAGUAUGUGAGGUUACCGUAUAAGACUUCAUUUGUUCUUAUCCCCCUUCUUCAUCAGUUCCACUAGGCCUGGUUUCAGAAACAAUUCAAACUUACCAUUACAUGUCCAUGUACCUUAAACAGGACUCUACAAUGCCACCGCAGGCUACUUUUCCUUGUGACGGCAAGAUUUCAAAGUAUUUGUAGUUUGUACUAUUAAAAUCAAGGGACCCAGGCCAAUUCACUACAGCUCAUGCAGCAGCAUCCCCUCAAUCUGCGUUUGGUUCAAAUCUAGAUUUAACUGUUCAAGUAAUUUUUAUGCAAUGAAAUUUCAGAUGUUAUGUUUGUGACAACUUUUGGUCUGAAAUAGCGGCUAUCUCUGUCCUGUCUGUCUGCACACCCAUUGAUUUCUAAGACUAGACCUCCCUAAAAUACAUAUAAUCUGUUCCCGUAGUAUAUAUACAUGUACACUUUCGGCAAUUGCUUCGGGUACGUCUAGGCCUAACACAUUAAAGCUGCAGGCAACGCCCACCCAGGUGUAAAAGGAGUGGAUAUAAUAUUAUUGUCGCCUAUAUUAGGGUCGUGGAAUGAACAGCCCCCUUGGUCAUUAGAUCUAUCGAACAGGCAGACUAACUUUUAGGUGUGGAGGAACUUGAAACACGGUAUUUGGGUACAGCAGGAAUAUCUUAUUCUUAAGAAAUAUAGAACUUGCUGCUAAUUUUGCUGCUUUAUAUUGAAUUGAUCAAUGAUGCAAUUUUUGUGUUGUGUAUGUCUAGAACUGAAGAUCUGGUCAUGGGGAUAAUCGAGUAUUUUGUAGUGGAAUUUUCUAAAUCAAUUGAUGGCAAUGAAGUGGCAGUGGUCCCAGAAAACUGGUGGGAUAUGGAGGGCAACCAGUGUGUUCUCUGGCCUGAUAAAAAGUCUGCGAUGUGGAUUAACAAGGCAGCAAGGAAUGGUGACUCCCCCACCACUGAGUGGAAGUCAUCCGUUCGUGAAGACGUGCUCACGUACCAUCAUCUUGGGAAGAGGCCAACACGAAGAUGGAGAAGGUAUUGCUGACCUCCGACAUGGAAUCGCCUGCAGAAGUGGCUAAACGAAAAAGACGCAUCACAAACCCAUUCCACAGACCGUGUCCGCAAAACAACAGAAUCCUUUCGGAGCCGUUCGCCUAUUUUCGAACCCUCGUCAGUUGCCACUCCUUGUAGCAGUAGGGUCAAUACUCCGGACAUACCUGACACUGUAAAUAGGAGUCAUGCCUCUAAUGCAAUUGUUUUGGUUUUUACUGACUCUGUCCCAAGUGCCUGUGAUGACGGCAGUCUAGAAGAGCUACUUGAGCAACCUGCUUAAAAAAGUCGCACACAUGAACUACGUCAGGCCACACCAAGCGAACAGCAGCAGGUUGCUCCGACCACUCCAAGUGGACCGCAGCAGACCGCUCCGGCCACUCCAAGUGAACUGCAUGCAGCAGGCUCUCCAGCUGCACAGGUGCUGCAGACACCUACAGAGAUUCGUCGUCAGCGAGAAAUCCCUUGUGUCAAGCUGCGGUAGCACAAAGUUCAUGUCACUUGUACAUCACAUUCAAAAGUAGUCAUGCACUCACUGACGAAGAUGCGUGGGAAGACAGCGACUGCGCCAACACCAUCUUUGUGUCUCGGCUUACAGUAGUUGAAGAUGCAUUUCGCUCUGGAGCAACUCUUUCUUUUUGUGAGAAAAUUGCAUCGCCACUUGUUGUCUGCUUCAACGGGGAGGUUAGGGUGGACCAGGGAGGCCCUCAGCGAGAAUUCCUCUGUCUCGUGCUGAAGACGAUUGAGUCGAUAGUGAUGUCGCAGGUUGCGCAGGUUGACGUGGAGAAAAUUUUUGUUGCCGGAAUGUAUUGUGCUAUAACAAUAGUGCAAGCCGAAAUCUGUCCACCGUUCGUGUUGACAGUUCAGCAAGCAGCAUCACACCAGUGGGCCAGGGAAUUUUUGGACGGCUUUGAAGCCUUGAAAGUUAACACAGGAAGCCAUACAAUGAAGUGAUACACUUGUAACUGCAUUGCCUGCCACGCUCUUCUUGCUGAUAACGAUAUCGCGAGGCUCUUCACCCAUGCACCUCUGAGCGCUGCCAGAGUGAUUACACUGUUCCAG
Molecule: long non-coding RNA, 2536 nt
Filed under: Priapulus caudatus
Lineage: Eukaryota; Metazoa; Priapulida; Priapulimorpha; Priapulimorphida; Priapulidae
Description: uncharacterized LOC106818616, transcript variant X2
Source: RNAcentral